Long non-coding RNA from Ctenocephalides felis (cat flea), 247 nucleotides. RefSeq lists it as uncharacterized. The record is from RefSeq and is a predicted model, not a curated record. The transcript is spliced from 2 exons. Lineage: Eukaryota; Metazoa; Arthropoda; Insecta; Siphonaptera; Pulicidae.
CAAUAUUUGCUUAAAUGAUCAUAUAUACAUGCAUAAAAACAUUAUUAAAAAUCCAUUUAUUCAUUCGUUGGUAGUUUCCAGGGUAUUUGAAAGUAGGUUCUUAUUUAUUUGCACUCCAGAUGGCUUUAUUUCAUUUGUUAAUAAUGUGGGCUUAGGCAGAAUCACUCCAACCCAAAUUAAUGUACUCUCGGGCGUAAUAAAAAAAAGUAAAAUCUGGAUGUGCUGUAUUAACUGACAAAGGUAAAUU